Nicotiana sylvestris (wood tobacco) is the source of this 96-nucleotide non-coding RNA. The record is from Rfam. Lineage: Eukaryota; Viridiplantae; Streptophyta; Magnoliopsida; Solanales; Solanaceae.
UGGACAAAUUAUUAUAUUCGACUGUAUUCACAGCGUGAAACAAGGGAUUACACUGCUUUUAAACGGGAAGUGAAUCGAUUAACAUAAUAGACUCCU